Molecule: ribosomal RNA, 505 nt
Filed under: uncultured bacterium
Lineage: Bacteria
Description: partial 16S ribosomal RNA
Rfam family: Bacterial small subunit ribosomal RNA
Source: RNAcentral
GACGAACGCUGGCGGCGUGCCUAAUACAUGCAAGUCGAACGCACAGUUUAUACCGUAGCUUGCUACACCAUAAACUGUGAGUUGCGAACGGGUGAGUAACGCGUAGGUAACCUGCCUGGUAGCGGGGAAUAACUAUUGGAAACGAUAGCUAAUACCGCAUAAUAUUAAUUAUUGCAUGAUAAUUGAUUGAAAGAUGCAAUUGCAUCACUACCAGAUGGACCUGCGUUGUAUUAGCUAGUAGGUGAGGUAACGGCUCACCUAGGCGACGAUACAUAGCCGACCUGAGAGGGUGAUCGGCCACACUGGGACUGAGACACGGCCCAGACUCCUACGGGAGGCAGCAGUAGGGAAUCUUCGGCAAUGGACGAAAGUCUGACCGAGCAACGCCGCGUGAGUGAAGAAGGUUUUCGGAUCGUAAAGCUCUGUUGUAAGAGAAGAACGGGUGUGAGAGUGGAAAGUUCACACUGUGACGGUAUCUUACCAGAAAGGGACGGCUAACUACGUG